Molecule: ribosomal RNA, 399 nt
Filed under: uncultured soil bacterium
Lineage: Bacteria
Description: bacterial SSU rRNA
Rfam family: Bacterial small subunit ribosomal RNA
Source: RNAcentral
CAGGGCUUGACAUGCACGGUGCAGCCGUAGAGAUACGGUGUCCUUUGGGGUCGUGCACAGGUGGUGCAUGGUUGUCGUCAGCUCGUGCCGUGAGAUGUUGGGUUAAGUCCCGCAACGAGCGCAACCCUCGUCCUGUAUUGCCAGCAGCAUCUUCGGAUGGCUGGGGACUUGCGGGAGACUGCCGGGGUCAACUCGGAGGAAGGUGGGGAUGACGUCAAAUCAUCAUGCCCCUUAUGUCCUGGGCUGCACGCAUGCUACAAUGGCCGGUACAGAGGGCUGCGAUACCGUGAGGUGGAGCGAAUCCCGUAAAGCCGGUCUCAGUUCGGAUCGGGGUCUGCAACUCGACCCCGUGAAGUCGGAGUCGCUAGUAAUCGCAGAUCAGCAACGCUGCGGUGAAUA